RNAcentral lists this ribosomal RNA (301 nucleotides) under uncultured bacterium. RNAcentral describes it as "partial 16S ribosomal RNA". It matches the Rfam family "Bacterial small subunit ribosomal RNA", at positions 509 to 809 of the family's 1533-position model. The record is from RNAcentral.
CAGUAGCCGCGGUAAUACGAAGGGUGCAAGCGUCACUCGGAAUUACUGGGCGUAAAGCGUGCGUAGGUGGUGGUUUAAGUCCGUUGUGAAAGCCCUGGGCUCAACCUGGGAAUUGCAGUGGACACUGGGUCACUAGAGUGUUGUAGAGGAUAGUGGAAUUUCCGGUGUAGCAGUGAAAUGCGUAGAGAUCGGAAGGAACAUCUGUGGCGAAGGCGACUAUCUGGGCCAACACUGACACUGAGGCACGAAAGCGUGGGGAGCAGACAGGAUUAGAUACCCGUGUAGUCCCUGUCUCUUAUAA